AGGUCAUGUGGCAACGCCUAUCUGCCCCCCUGCAACCAGCAGUGUGAUUUUGACCGUGCACCGAGCAAGACGUGCUAGUGUUUCGCUUACCAGCUAGGUGCUGGCGUUCCGGCUUGCAAUUGGGCGUGAGACAAAAGAUGUUCGAAUAUCUUCAGACACACCGCCCAACGGCAGCCUGACACCAUGUUACUAGUUGCAGGGGCCGAUGGACCAGCUCUCCUCGCUCGACGCACCGUCACUCCACUCACUCAAGCAACAAGCAAGACAUCAACAUUCGAAGCUGAAACAAGACCACCCGCAAACCUUAUCCUGUCUCACAAAUUACUUAGGUUCUCUUCUGCCUCAAGUAAUCUGUGACACCUAAGUCAGAAUGCUAAGAAGUAUUCAGAAAAACCUGUCGACCUCAACUUAUCUAGAGUCAGUCGAAGCAGGUUUUAGUUGACUCGACUACUUGAAGAUCACUAGAGGUUAUAAUGCCGUAACAUCUCCCCGGUCAGGCGGAUCUCCGUCUACAGAAGCUUUCCGGACCCGGACAUUAUAUUUCCACGCGACGGGGCAUGGUUUGUCCUGAGACCAUGCAUUUUUGCUAUACUUCUUGACAUGCACAUGGGUAAAAUGCUGACGAGCACACAGCAUUAUAUUCAUCAUCAUAUAGAUUUAGUCCAGGCACGUAGGGGUAUUGGGGGUCAAUCCCCUUCAAUCUCGGGGUUUAAUUUCUUUAUGUUGUUUUUUUUUUGGGAGUUUCUGGCUUCUCCCUGGGGCAGAACGCGCCUGAACUAGAACCUGCAUUCUGUUUAGUUUCAUGUGCUCCCUAAGGGAAUGGGGUCCGAGGCAAUCAUGCUCGUGGUCGUUGGUUUGCGUUACAUUGCGGACUGACUUAUCACCUUUAAUAAAACCGCCGAAGAAAGCCACCGAUGGUCACGAAUGCACUUGCUUCGGAUUUCAUUUGUGGGUCAUAUUUCAGCGAAUGGUUGUUCGGAAGCCCGAAGCCCGGACCUUCAUAUACCAUACCUUGUGUAUGUGCAUAGAAUUAGUCUAAGAAACCUCACUAAAUUGUCUAUAAUUAAACUAUAUUUAAGGAA
Helicoverpa zea (corn earworm) is the source of this 1082-nucleotide long non-coding RNA. RefSeq lists it as uncharacterized. The record is from RefSeq and is a predicted model, not a curated record. NCBI's taxonomy places the organism in Eukaryota, Metazoa, Arthropoda, Insecta, Lepidoptera, Noctuidae. The transcript has 3 exons.